Molecule: long non-coding RNA, 985 nt
Organism: Osmerus eperlanus (European smelt)
Lineage: Eukaryota; Metazoa; Chordata; Actinopteri; Osmeriformes; Osmeridae
Exons: 2
Source: RefSeq, a predicted model, not a curated record
ACUCCGAGCUCUCAUCACCACGCACUCGAUGUCAAUUAGAGAGCCCAGCGACGCCGCCUUCUCAGACCCUCGUAUGCCAUCAGGUACAUGGAUGACCUCCGCGAAGCAGGACGACUGACAUUAUCCACCUCUGCUGCUCACCAGGCUGCUGCGCUGCUAUUUGAAAAUGGUGUGGGCACAGAUUUGGACAUAGAAGCUGGGCAGUGCUCUGUGCCGUCACAGUCAACCAACACAGCGUACAAAGUAAACUUGUUACACUUCACGUGUGUGGAGUGAAGUGUGGAGAGGGUGGCAGACUUCCGCUUCCUGGGGGUCCACAUACAGGACAGCCCAUCCUGGAGUGUGAACACCUCUGAGCUGCUGAAAAAGGCCCAGCAGAGACUGUACUUCCUGAGAACACUCAGUAGGAAUAACAUCACACAAAGACUGCUGGUGUCCUUCUACCGAGCCUCCAUUGAAAGCAUCCUCACAUACUGCAUAUGCAUUUGGUAUACCAGCUGUACAGUGGCUCAGAGGAAAACGCUCCAGAGGGUCAUCAACAGCGCUCAAAAGAUUGUUGGCUGCCCUCUCCCCGCACUGGAAGACCUACACAGAUCCCGUUGUCUCAAAAAAGCCCAGAACAUCAUAAAAGACACUUCACACUCCUGGGCACUCCCUGUUUGAAAUGUUGCCUUCAGGCAGACGGUACAUAUCAAUCAAGGCAAGGAUAAACAGACUAAAACACAGUUUCUAUCCAACUGCAAUAACCACUGUUAAUGCUGGCAAAACAUAAUGUGCACAAUGUUAUGUUAUGUAUUAUGUAAUGACUGUGUGUGGUUGUUUACGGUACAGUCUUAGGUAUAUUUAUUCUUAUUUAUUUGAGUAAUUUUAACACUUUAGUAAUUUUAUCCUUUUUACUGAUUUUUAAGUCAAUGAAUGAUGCACUGACUGGAAGCACUUUAAUAUCGUUGUACCUGUGACAAUGACAAUAAAGAUCUAUUCUAUU